This 94-nucleotide ribosomal RNA is filed under the name Clostridium botulinum. The record is from RNAcentral. Lineage: Bacteria; Bacillati; Bacillota; Clostridia; Eubacteriales; Clostridiaceae.
UCUGGUGAUUAUGGCUUGAAGGUAACACCCGUUUCCAUGCCGAACACGAAGGUUAAGCUUCAAAGCGCUGAUGGUACUGCAGGGGAAGCCCUGU